Molecule: RNA transcript, 2528 nt
Organism: Peromyscus leucopus (white-footed mouse)
Lineage: Eukaryota; Metazoa; Chordata; Mammalia; Rodentia; Cricetidae
Gene: Aptx
Gene name: aprataxin
Exons: 10
Source: RefSeq, a predicted model, not a curated record
UAGGCAGCCGUUUUAUGACGUCAUCUUCCAGCCCCGGAAGUGGCGGGGCGCAGUGGCGCCGCGAGCGGGUUUGUGAGUGUCUGCAGUCGAGAGCGAUGAUGCGGGUGUGCUGGUUGGUGAGACAGGACAGCGGGCACCAGCGAAUCAGACUUCCCCAUUUGGAAGCAGUUGUGAUUGGUCGAAGCCCAGAGACCAAGAUCACAGAUAAGAAAUGUUCUCGCCAGCAAGUACAGUUGAAAGCAGAGUGUAACAAGGGCUAUGUCAAAGUAAAGCAGGUGGGGGUCAAUCCCACCAGCAUUGACUCCGUCAUCAUCGGGAAGGACCAAGAGAUGAAGCUGCAGCCUGGCCAGGUUCUCCACAUGGUGAAUGAACUUUAUCCAUAUAUUGUAGAGUUUGAGGAAGUAGCACAGAGUCCUGACCUAGAAACACAAAGGAAGAGAAAGAGGUCAGACUGUGAUGGUGAGGAGAUGGAUGCUGCUCAGGAAGCGGAGUCUGGGACAGGGCUAGCACCUGGGAGCAGCCCCAGCCAGUGCUCUGUGCCUUCUAAGAAGGGCAAGGAUGGAGUCACCAAAGAGGAGUCACUGGGCCACUGGAGUCAAGGCUUGAAAGUUUCUAUGAAAGACCCCAAAAUGCAGGUUUACAAAGAUGAGCUGGUGGUGGUGAUUAAGGAUAAAUAUCCCAAGGCCCGUCACCAUUGGCUGGUCUUACCCUGGGCCUCCAUUUCCAGUCUGAAGGUUGUGACCAGUGAACAUCUUGACCUUCUCAAACAUAUGCACACUGUAGGGGAAAAGGUGAUUUCGGAUUUUGCUGGAUCCAGCAAACUGAGAUUCCGGUUGGGUUACCAUGCUAUUCCCAGUAUGAGCCAUGUACACCUUCAUGUGAUCAGCCAGGAUUUUGAUUCUCCUUGCCUUAAAAACAAAAAACAUUGGAAUUCUUUCAAUACAGAAUACUUUCUGGACUCACAAGCUGUGAUCCAGAUGGUCGAAGAGGCUGGCAGAGUGACUGUUCAAGAUGGGACUUCUGAACUCCUGAAGCUGCCUCUUCGUUGCCACGAGUGUCAGCAGCUGCUGCCCUCCAUCCCGCAGCUGAAGGAGCACCUCAGGAAGCACUGGGGCGGGUGACUGUCCCCGAGGCCGGGUGCAGUGCCAGCGUGUGUCCGUGUCACCUGUGCCCAUGCAGUCCUGAACUAAAGCAUGCAGCUUUUCAAAACAAGGCUUAUUUAUUCUUGAGCGGCCACACACAGGGGGACUGGUAGUUCAGGAUGGGGAAUUUGGGUUUGUGUGGGUGCAUUCUCUGGUGAUGGAAGCUGGGACGUCCUGCCUGAUCACCCUACCAGGACCAUGUCAGGCCUGACUAAUGAGGGAGAGGAGAGCCAGCCUGAGACUCGAAUGCAGGCUGUGGAAGCAGAGCGAUGGUAAGAGGUGGAGGCCAGGGCAGAGGAGGGGCUCCUGGGGCUGUGUGAAGAGCCAGUGGAUCAGCUGGAUUCUUACCUGCUACUGACAGCAUUUCCACACCACAGACACACUCGCUUACGGCAGCUGGGAACUUUAGCAUUCAAGGACCCAGGUGUAUAGGAGGUCAAGAUCCUCAAAUGCAGCUGAUUCUGCCUGGCCAGGAGGGAGAAGAGACUCAGGAUUUAGAGAGGCCCCAGGCAAGGAGCAGAGGGGUGCUUGUGGCCAGAGACAUGCCCAGAAGGAACAGGAAGGCCCUAGACUAGGAGAAGAUUCUGCCCUUCUGGAGCUCCUGCUCUGCCUGCUUCCUUUUGCUGUCGGCUGGGCCUCCUGAGCAUGUAGAGGAAACCAUGGGGUCAGAGGCAACGUGGUUUCUCGGUUCUGUUGAAGGAGGACGGGGAGUCCUGUCCUCAGAUGGCUGGAGGUGGAGACUGCUAAGCUCCGGCCCUGUCUCAGAUGCCAGCAAGAAACUACUAUGUCCCUGGACCUUGUGCAGGGCCCGGGGCCUGGCUGCUUCAGGACAAGAGCAUGUUGACUCCCCUGGGUAGGAGCAGAGCAACUUGCUGGUUUGCAUGCAGCAGGUGGCGCAGGCGCUCCACGAGGUUCUGUCUGUGCUUGUGACUCGUCCUUCAGCCUUGCUCACCUUUCUGCGGUGGACUUGGUCACCAACAAGGACCUCACAGCAGCUCCCGAGUGACCAGUCUACUAGUGGGUUUUCUGCUGCUUUGUGGUGAAAUAUCAGCACUGUUUUUGUUUUAUUAACCAAUCUUGACUUUCAUUAGUUUCAUGCUAACCAAAACCACCUACAAGCUAGACAACACUAGAAGCUGAAGAAUCACUGGGUUUGAAUCCCAGAUCUACCAAUUAGGGAUAGCAUGACUCUGGGCAAGCUGUAUAACUCUAUGAUCCUUGGAUCUCUCACCUACAAAAGUCUUGGAAAUUCCAUUUACUGGUAGGAUUACUAUGGACAUAAAAUAACAGGAAGAGGCAAAGUAGUCAGUAUGUGGUCACCAAAUAAAGACGUUUGUGGCAAUGAGUUAUUCUUUUUCUUUUCUUUCUUUUUUAAAAAAGACAAAC